UACGUAGGUGGCAAGCGAUACUCGGAAUCACUAGGCGUAAAGCGCAGGUAGGUGGUUUGAUAAGUCUUUUGUGAAAGCUCCCGGCUUAACUGGGAGAGGCCAAGGGAAACUGUCAGACUAGAGUUUGGUAGGGGAUACUGGAAUUCCUGGUGUAGCGGUGAAAUGCGUAGAUAUCAGGAGGAAUACCUAUGGCGAAAGCAGGUAUCUGGGCCAUAACUGACACUGAGCUGCGAAAGCUAGGGGAGCAAACAGG
RNAcentral lists this ribosomal RNA (253 nucleotides) under uncultured bacterium. RNAcentral describes it as "partial 16S ribosomal RNA". It matches the Rfam family "Bacterial small subunit ribosomal RNA", at positions 524 to 776 of the family's 1533-position model. The record is from RNAcentral.